RNAcentral lists this unclassified non-coding RNA (1088 nucleotides) under Hevea brasiliensis (rubber tree). The record is from RNAcentral. Lineage: Eukaryota; Viridiplantae; Streptophyta; Magnoliopsida; Malpighiales; Euphorbiaceae.
GUUCAACAAUCCAAUUACGCCAUCGCCGCCUCCUCACCGUCUUCUCCGAUGUCCGACGACGAUCUCGUCGCCAGUCCAUCCUCGAAUAACAAUUCUCCGUCGCCGUCUCCAUCGCCUCCACCGUCUUCUGUAAAGAAUGAACUAGCAACUCUUCCUCCGCCACCGAUGAUCCCGCCGGCGUCGACUCGUCCGGCUGCAUUUCCGGCUCGCGAGGACUGUUGGUCGGAGGCGGCGACUCAUACUCUGAUCGAAGCGUGGGGUUCUCUCUAUGUGGAGCUGAAGCGCGGUAAUCUCCGGCAGAAGCACUGGCAGGAGGUGGCUAACGCCGUUAACAAACUUCACGGCAACACGAAGAAGCAAUUUCGCACCGAUAUACAGUGCAAAAACCGCAUUGAUACAUUGAAGAAGAAGUACAAGAUCGAGAAAGCUAGGGUUUCUCAAUCGCACAGUCGGUAUGUCCCGCAGUGGCCAUUUUUCAACAGCCUCGACGUCCUGAUCGGCGAUAAUUUCAAACCAUCGCCGUUGCCGGUGACGGUCGCUCCUCGACGGAAGACACCUCCGUUGCUUCCUCCUCCAACUUCCGCCAUUCCGGUUGGUCCACGGUCAAAGAGGCCGGCGGCAGUCAUGGAGGACGUCGUUUCCCGGAGAAAUUUCUCUGCUAUGGCUGCAGCUGCAGCUGCUGCUGCCUCCGAGGAUUCAGACGAAGAGGAGGAAUCGGAAACUUCAAGUCCGGCGACAUUUACUGCCAGUGCUCCAAGUAGGAGGAAGGAGAGUGGGGCAUUGGCAGAGGGUUGUAGCAGGUUAGCUGAAGCAAUAGGAAGGUUUGCCGAGAUAUACGAACGAGUUGAAGAUGCUAAGCAGAGGCAAAUGGUGGAAUUAGAGAAGCAAAGAAUGCAGUUUGCAAAGGAUUUGGAGAUUCAAAGAAUGAAACUUAUUAUGGAGUCACAAGUUCAGCUUGAAAAGCUUAAACGCGCGAAGAACAGUUCACAAGCUGAUGGUUACUUGUACAAGGAAUGUUGAGUAGAAGAGUGCAUUUUUUCCACGAAUCUUUCGGAGGUGAUACAUAUAUUUUGGUUAAACCUUGCCAA